ACUUCCUAAGCCGGAACGAAAAGUUACAGAGUUUAGUUACUUUGAAACUUUUGGCUUUGUGGUUGUGAUGUUGUGUUUGCAAGUUGUCUGGUUGAACCAGACCUUUGUAGCUUUAGCUACUGUUUUUUCACUUCCUGUACAUUUACCCUGUCUGUCCAUAGUGAUUUUAUAUAGUGCACCGCCAACGCGCGGUGCUUUUUUUA
Molecule: non-coding RNA, 203 nt
Organism: Providencia rettgeri Dmel1
Lineage: Bacteria; Pseudomonadati; Pseudomonadota; Gammaproteobacteria; Enterobacterales; Morganellaceae
Source: Rfam